This 253-nucleotide ribosomal RNA is filed under the name uncultured bacterium. RNAcentral's name for it is "partial 16S ribosomal RNA". It matches the Rfam family "Bacterial small subunit ribosomal RNA", at positions 524 to 776 of the family's 1533-position model. The record is from RNAcentral.
UACGUAGGGUGCGAGCGUUAAUCGGAAUUACUGGGCGUAAAGCGUGCGCAGGCGGUUUUGUAAGCCAGAUGUGAAAUCCCCGGGCUCAACCUGGGAAUGGCAUUUGGGACUGCAAGGCUGGAGUUUGGCAGAGGAGACUGGAAUUCCUGGUGUAGCAGUGAAAUGCGCAGAUAUCAGGAGGAACACCGAUGGCGAAGGCAGGUCUCUGGGCCGAUACUGACGCUGAGGAGCGAAAGCGUGGGGAGCGAACAGG